Molecule: unclassified non-coding RNA, 652 nt
Filed under: Hevea brasiliensis (rubber tree)
Lineage: Eukaryota; Viridiplantae; Streptophyta; Magnoliopsida; Malpighiales; Euphorbiaceae
Source: RNAcentral
GAAUGAGCACAGAUUCACCAGUCUCUAAAAAUGAGACGCUGACAAAUUUAGAUGGGCACAACACUAUGUAUAGAAAUAUCCUAGUAUAAACAACGACUACAAGACAUGUAGAAAUCCAAUCAUAAGUAAACAAUUUUAGCAUCUAUAUCAUAAUAUAAAAACUCAGAAUAUUAGUACAUGUUUGGGUGAGUUCAUGAUGUGUAAGUCAGCCUGGAUAAAAAAGAAGUUAUGAAACACAAGGAUGGCCUCUGUUGCGCAACUGAACCAGUUGCAUCAUAUAUCUCAUAAUUUAUGUUACACACAAUAACUCCAUCAUUCCACUUCAAACCCUUGCUACCUCUUCAAACAAAAUCAGAAUCCCUCAAUCACACACAUAGAGUUGCUACUAAAAUACUAUUUAAUUUCAAUAAAUCUACACAAAAACCUGCAAUAUAAAGUGCAUUCUAACAAGUUAGCACAAGCAAUGCAACUAAUUAAACAAUUGAACAAAAUUGUCACAAAAUUCAGUAGGAAUGAAUGAGAAAAAGCGGGGAAAGGACUUGGCAUUAUUCCACAGAAAAGCCAAACUAGGAUGACCAAAUCUAUACUUCAAAUACCACAGUGCUAUUAUAUGCUAAGAGGAUAAUCCGCUUUGCAAUUCAAGUUUUUAUAA